This 165-nucleotide ribosomal RNA is filed under the name Raddiella esenbeckii. RNAcentral describes it as "5.8S ribosomal RNA". The stretch from base 1 to 130 matches the Rfam family "5.8S ribosomal RNA", at positions 27 to 154 of the family's 154-position model. From Rfam's summary of the family: 5.8S ribosomal RNA (5.8S rRNA) is a component of the large subunit of the eukaryotic ribosome. The record is from RNAcentral. Lineage: Eukaryota; Viridiplantae; Streptophyta; Magnoliopsida; Poales; Poaceae.
CUCGCAUCGAUGAAGAACGUAGCGAAAUGCGAUACCUGGUGUGAAUUGCAGAAUCCCGCGAACCAUCGAGUCUUUGAACGCAAGUUGCGCCCGAGGCCGUCCGGCCGAGGGCACGCCUGCCUGGGCGUCACGCCAAAAGACGCUCCACAAGCCCCCGCAGCGUGC